This 111-nucleotide small RNA is filed under the name Flavobacterium swingsii. RNAcentral's name for it is "Flavo-1 RNA". It matches the Rfam family "Flavo-1 RNA". The record is from RNAcentral. Lineage: Bacteria; Pseudomonadati; Bacteroidota; Flavobacteriia; Flavobacteriales; Flavobacteriaceae.
GUAUAGCCCCGAUAGAGCCAAAUAUCCUUUUUGUUUUGUCAUGCUGUCCCGAUAGCUAUCGGGAUUGUCGAAGCAUAAAACAAAAAGAUAUAGGCGAAAGCGGGAGAAUGU